CAGGGUGUGGCGCAGCUGGGUAGCGCGCGUGCCUUGGGCGCACGAGGUCGUCGGUUCGAAUCCGACCACCCUGACCA
This 77-nucleotide transfer RNA is filed under the name Betaproteobacteria bacterium RIFCSPLOWO2_02_FULL_67_26. RNAcentral describes it as "tRNA-Pro". It matches the Rfam family "tRNA". Rfam says of the family: Transfer RNA (tRNA) molecules are approximately 80 nucleotides in length. The record is from RNAcentral. Lineage: Bacteria; Pseudomonadati; Pseudomonadota; Betaproteobacteria.